RNAcentral lists this long non-coding RNA (271 nucleotides) under Manihot esculenta (cassava). RNAcentral's name for it is "long non-coding RNA (MESC_LNC003932)". Lineage: Eukaryota; Viridiplantae; Streptophyta; Magnoliopsida; Malpighiales; Euphorbiaceae. The record is from RNAcentral.
UAUUUGCCUACUCAGAAGAGAGAUACAUACCAUAUAUAUACUAUAAUGCAAUGAUUUCAAUCACUGCCUCAAAACAAGGAGGACAACAAUGGAUUGACUGCAUUUGAGAGUAGGGAGUCCACUCAAAGAUUUGACUAGCAUACCUGGCAACCCUUCUUUGAGUUCAUCAUCACAACUCCUACUUCUACAAAGUUGUUUCUGCCAAAAAUUUUACUGUGCACUAAAUAUAUUGGUUACCCUUUACUCCACCAAGCAUCCUUAACUGACUUUC